GCCUAAGUGGCGCAGCUGGUAGCGCAACUGAUUCGUAAUCAGUAGGUCGUCGGUUCGAGUCCGAUCUUAGGCU
This 73-nucleotide transfer RNA is filed under the name Lachnospiraceae bacterium NE2001. It matches the Rfam family "tRNA". From Rfam's summary of the family: Transfer RNA (tRNA) molecules are approximately 80 nucleotides in length. Their secondary structure includes four short double-helical elements and three loops (D, anti-codon, and T loops). Lineage: Bacteria; Bacillati; Bacillota; Clostridia; Lachnospirales; Lachnospiraceae. The record is from Rfam by way of RNAcentral.